CCCGCUGGCCGGGGUGCUGUGAGGGUCCCCACGCCGCUGGCUCGCUCGCCCUGAGCGGAGGGCUGGGGGGCAUGUUCCGAGCAGCUGCCUCAACCGCUUGUCUCAGGGAUCAUCCCCGUUUCUCCCCUGCGUGGCGUUGGCUGCCCGCUGACGCUUUUCCUUGGUGGAAUGGAGACCUGCCUUUGGACGAGCUGAGGAGACCGAGACCCAGCAAAAUUUCACCUUGAGGUCUGGAAAUGAACUGGACUCUGGGAGUUGGAGUAUAGAACACUGCUGCCAGAGCUGACAUUGCCACCGCCCCAACAGUCUUCAUCACGAGCCCCCUCGUUACAUAUGAUACACCUGGAUGAGAAUAGAAUCUCUAAGUCUCCCAGAAAUACUUGGAGAGUAUUUCACAGAAACACUUCUGUGAAAUCUCAAGGACAACACGUUACCAAGAAGGGAGCUGUGCCAUGGUGCCACAGUGUCUCUGUUGUUGGUCUGGCAUGUUUGUGGAAUCCCGUUCCAUACGGUCUGAUGCCAAAGUACACCAGCCCAAGGUUUCUUUUGUUCAUCCCUGAACCUCAUAUAGACCUACCAGGUAUCUUCAGGUAUGAUUCAGUGCUUCUGGACAUGCCAUGAUAGAGAAGAUUCCCACCCUUCCACAUUCUAAGACAGCAGGAAGCUUAUUUUCCCAUGCUUAUAUCAGAACACAUGCUAAUUCCCACUCUAAUUGCACUAUUCAUUCCCUGUAGAUGGGAAGCAGAUGGUUGUAUACCAGCAAGCAGAGAGAAAUGCAAGAAUACACCGUUAAUGCGCGCAUUCGCUCCUGUUUCUUGUUCUUUUGUCUGCUCUCCGUGUUAUGCCGGUCCCCCAGCAGCUCUGCUUGCCCCUCCACCAUGGGUGACAGAAUUAAUAUAUUAUACUUGUGUGAUUACCUUCACUCCAUUUCUGGGAGCUACUGCCAAAAUCCAGACAUCUAAAGAGCGUGAUAUGAAUAGACUUUUCAGGGAAACCACAGUCGUAUUUUCAAGCAAUACAUCAAUGUUUAUUCUGCUUCUUGAACAGCUUCUUAAUUCUCAUUGGAGUUUAUUAGUCACCCUUGUUCUCAGUUGAUUAAAUUUGUUUCUAGUUGCCUCCAAGAUUAUAUUGAUAGAUAUUCCUCUUUACAAUUUAAAAGGAACAUUUUUGCAGCUGACAGAGUAAGACAGAUGGAAAAAGUGAAUGCCCCACACUGUAUAGAUCUGAUUCAUCUUCCUCCCAUCUUCUUAUUUAUUUUUGCCGUGAUUGGGAACCAAAUGAACAGAGUGACAUUGGGUUUUAGUCAGAUAACUCCAUUAUUUUUGAUUUAUGGUUUCAUAUUUUUGAAAGCCAAUACAAUACAAGUAAAGAUAAAAGUUAGCUGGUGUCAUUUGUACAGUCACUCUAUUUUAUGAGUUAAUUAUUUUAGGGUACGUUAUGACCAGCACAAAUUAAAACAAUAUGGAGGGAAAGAAAAGGUAUUUAUUGUAAAAGUCUAUUCUGGUUACAUUUAACUGGUUCUCUUUAAAUAUGGACACUUCCAAGGAGUAGGAAAUUUGUACGACAUGCAAUAUGAGAGCAACGGGUGUGUUGAGCAAUUUUUAUUUCAUUUGCAAUUCUGUGUUGUUACUGGAUCAUACAUAAUCUUUGUAAGGUUGCAGGGAAGAGAA
Molecule: non-coding RNA, 1670 nt
Organism: Odocoileus virginianus texanus
Lineage: Eukaryota; Metazoa; Chordata; Mammalia; Artiodactyla; Cervidae
Source: RefSeq, a predicted model, not a curated record